This 253-nucleotide ribosomal RNA is filed under the name uncultured bacterium. Its description in RNAcentral is "partial 16S ribosomal RNA". It matches the Rfam family "Bacterial small subunit ribosomal RNA", at positions 524 to 776 of the family's 1533-position model. The record is from RNAcentral.
UACGAAGGGGGCUAGCGUUGUUCGGAAUUACUGGGCGUAAAGCGCACGCAGGCGGCUUGUUAAAUUAGAAGUGAAAGCCCUGGGCUCAACCCGGGAAUUGCUUUUAAGACUGGCAAGCUUGAAUCCGGAAGAGGGUAGUGGAAUUCCCAGUGUAGAGGUGAAAUUCGUAGAUAUUGGGAGGAACACCAGUGGCGAAGGCGACUGCCUGGUCCGGCAUUGACGCUCAUGUGCGAAAGCGUGGGGAGCAAACAGG